GCUCCAGUGGCAAAGUGGUUAGAGCGUCCGCCUCGAAUGCUGGAAGUCGUGCGUUCGAUUCCCUUUUGAAUCA
Potamilus streckersoni is the source of this 73-nucleotide non-coding RNA. NCBI's taxonomy places the organism in Eukaryota, Metazoa, Mollusca, Bivalvia, Unionida, Unionidae. The record is from the annotation of a GenBank genome assembly.